RNAcentral lists this transfer RNA (65 nucleotides) under Paraleptophlebia submarginata. RNAcentral's name for it is "tRNA-Val". Lineage: Eukaryota; Metazoa; Arthropoda; Insecta; Ephemeroptera; Leptophlebiidae. The record is from RNAcentral.
CAAAAUAAAGCUCUAAGAGCUUCUUGCUUACACUGAGAGGGUGCUGUUAAAUCCAGUUGUUUUGA